RNAcentral lists this transfer RNA (76 nucleotides) under Burkholderiales bacterium. Its description in RNAcentral is "tRNA-Gly". It matches the Rfam family "tRNA". From Rfam's summary of the family: Transfer RNA (tRNA) molecules are approximately 80 nucleotides in length. Lineage: Bacteria; Pseudomonadati; Pseudomonadota; Betaproteobacteria; Burkholderiales. The record is from RNAcentral.
GGGUGCUUAGCUCAGGAGGUCGAGCGUCGCCCUUCCAAGGCGAAUGUCGGCGGUUCGACCCCGUCAGCACCCACCA